Molecule: ribosomal RNA, 460 nt
Filed under: uncultured bacterium
Lineage: Bacteria
Description: partial 16S ribosomal RNA
Rfam family: Bacterial small subunit ribosomal RNA
Source: RNAcentral
CCUACGGGUGGCAGCAGUGAGGAAUAUUGGUCAAUGGACGAGAGCCUGAACCAGCCAAGUAGCGUGAAGGAUGACUGCCCUAUGGGUUGUAAACUUCUUUUAUAUGGGAAUAAAAUGUUCCACGUGUGGGUUUUUGUAUGUACUUUAUGAAUAAGGAUCGGCUAACUCCGUGCCAGCAGCCGCGGUAAUACGGAGGAUCCGAGCGUUGUCCGGAUUUAUUGGGUUUAAAGGGAGCGUAGGUGGGUUGUUAAGUCAGUUGUGAAAGUUUGCGGCUCAACCGUAAAAUUGCAGUUGAAACUGGCAGCCUUGAGUACAGUAGAGGUAGGCGGAAUUCGGGGUGUAGCGGUGAAAUGCUUAGAUAUCACGAAGAACUCCGAUUGCGAAGGCAGCUCACUGAACUGCAACUGACACUGAGGCUCGAAAGUGUGGGUAUCAAACAGGAUUAGAUACCCCAGUAGUC